CAUCUACUCCCUCCGUUCCAAAUUAAUCAUCGCAGAAAUGGAUGUAUCUAAAACUAAAAUAUAUCUAGAUACAUUCAUACUUGUGGUAAGUAAUUCGGAACGGAGGAAGUAGGUA
Triticum aestivum (bread wheat) is the source of this 115-nucleotide non-coding RNA. The record is from Rfam. Lineage: Eukaryota; Viridiplantae; Streptophyta; Magnoliopsida; Poales; Poaceae.